UCGAGAAUCUUGGGCAAUGCGCGAAAGCGUGACCCAGCAAUGCCGCGUGUGUGAUGAAGGCCUUCGGGUCGUAAAACACUGUCACCCGGGACGAUAAAUGACGGUACCGGGGGAGGAAGCCACGGCUAACUACGUGCCAGCAGCCGCGGUAAUACGUAGGUGGCGAGCGUUGUUCGGAAUUAUUGGGCGUAAAGGGUCCGCAGGAGGUUCAUUAAAUUCGAGGUGAAAUCCCGAAGCUCAACUUCGGAACUGCCUUGGAGACUGAUGAACUAGAGUGCUGGAGAGGUAAGCGGAAUUCCAGGUGUAGCGGUGGAAUGCGUAGAUAUCUGGAAGAACACCGAUGGCGAAGGCAGCUUACUGGACAGCAACUGACUCUCAUGGACGAAAGCGUGGGGAGCAAACA
This 403-nucleotide ribosomal RNA is filed under the name uncultured Victivallis sp. RNAcentral's name for it is "partial 16S ribosomal RNA". It matches the Rfam family "Bacterial small subunit ribosomal RNA", at positions 355 to 774 of the family's 1533-position model. Lineage: Bacteria; Pseudomonadati; Lentisphaerota; Lentisphaeria; Victivallales; Victivallaceae. The record is from RNAcentral.